RNAcentral lists this ribosomal RNA (778 nucleotides) under uncultured bacterium. Its description in RNAcentral is "bacterial SSU rRNA". It matches the Rfam family "Bacterial small subunit ribosomal RNA", at positions 89 to 869 of the family's 1533-position model. The record is from RNAcentral.
CUUGGAGUGGCGCACGGGUGCGUAACACGUAUGCAAUCUGCCCCUAACAGGGGAAUAGCCCGGCGAAAGUCGGAUUAAUACCCCAUAACAAUACGAACCGGCAUCGGUAUGUAUUUAAAGCUCCGGCGGUUAGGGAUGAGCAUGCGCGACAUUAGCUAGAUGGCGGGGUAACGGCCCACCAUGGCUACGAUGUCUAGGGGGUCUGAGAGGAUUUUCCCCCACACUGGUACUGAGACACGGACCAGACUCCUACGGGAGGCAGCAGUAGGGAAUAUUGGGCAAUGGACGCAAGUCUGACCCAGCCAUGCCGCGUGAAGGAUGAAGGCCCUAUGGGUUGUAAACCUCUUUUGUACGGGAAGAAACCCUCCUACGUGUAGGAGGCUGACGGUACCGUAAGAAUAAGGAUCGGCUAACUCCGUGCCAGCAGCCGCGGUAAUACGGAGGAUCCAAGCGUUGUCCGGAUUUAUUGGGUUUAAAGGGUGCGUAGGCGGAUUACUAAGUCAGAGGUGAAAGUUUGCAGCUUAACUGUAAAAUUGCCUUUGAAACUGGUAGUCUUGAGUAUAGUUGAGGUGGGCGGAAUGUGUCAUGUAGCGGUGAAAUGCUUAGAUAUGAUACAGAACACCGAUUGCGAAGGCAGCUCACUAAACUGUAACUGACGCUGAGGCACGAAAGCGUGGGAGCAAACAGGAUUAGAUACCCUGGUAGUCCACGCCCUAAACGUUGAAUACUCGUUGUUGGCGAUAUACAGUCAGCGACUAAGCGAAAGCAUUAAGUAUUC